UUCGCAAUGCCCGAAAGGGUGACUAUGCGACGCCGCGUGCGGGAAGAAGGCCUUCGGGUUGUAAACCGCUGUCGGGAGUUAAGAAAUGUAAGGAUGUUAAUAGCAUCUUUGCUUGACUAAGGCUCCGGAGGAAGCCACGGCUAACUCUGUGCCAGCAGCCGCGGUAAUACAGAGGCGGCAAGCGUUGUUCGGAAUUAUUGGGCGUAAAGAGCACGUAGGCGGCUAUGUAAGUCGGUUGUGAAAGCCUUCCGCUCAACGGGAGAACAGCAUCCGAUACUGCAUGGCUUGAGUGCGGGAGGGGAGAGUGGAACUUCUGGUGGAGCGGUGAAAUGCGUAGAUAUCAGAAGGAACGCCGGCGGCGAAAGCGGCUCUCUGGCCCAUAACUGACGCUGAGUGUGCGAAAGCUAGGGGAGCAAACGGGAUUAGAUACCCCGGUAGUCCUAGCCGUAAACGAUGGGCACUAAGUAGAGGGGUUUU
RNAcentral lists this ribosomal RNA (477 nucleotides) under uncultured Planctomycetales bacterium. RNAcentral describes it as "bacterial SSU rRNA". It matches the Rfam family "Bacterial small subunit ribosomal RNA", at positions 365 to 832 of the family's 1533-position model. The record is from RNAcentral. Lineage: Bacteria; Pseudomonadati; Planctomycetota; Planctomycetia; Planctomycetales.